AAACGUAGGAGGCGAACGUUAUCCGGAUUUACUGGGCGUAAAGCGCGCGCAGGCGGCUUCGUAAGUCCGACGUGAAAGCUCCCGGCUCAACUGGGAGAGGUCGUCGGAUACUGCGGAGCUUGAGGGUAGGAGAGGGAAGUGGAAUUCCCGGUGUAGCGGUGGAAUGCGUAGAUAUCGGGAGGAACUCCAGUGGCGAAGGCGACUUCCUGGCCUACAGCUGACGCUGAGGCGCGAAAGCGUGGGGAGCGAACAGGAUUAGAAACCCUAGUAGUCC
RNAcentral lists this ribosomal RNA (274 nucleotides) under uncultured bacterium. Its description in RNAcentral is "partial 16S ribosomal RNA". It matches the Rfam family "Bacterial small subunit ribosomal RNA", at positions 523 to 796 of the family's 1533-position model. The record is from RNAcentral.